RNAcentral lists this long non-coding RNA (1230 nucleotides) under Homo sapiens (human). Its description in RNAcentral is "WARS2 antisense RNA 1". The record is from RNAcentral. Lineage: Eukaryota; Metazoa; Chordata; Mammalia; Primates; Hominidae.
GCUCUGAGCAGGCCGACAGUCAUAGACGAGUAGACCUUAGGCGAGGGAAGGCAUGUACUUUCCCUAAGAAGCGGGAGGAGAGAAAUAAAUAGAGGGCAGUGGGAUGAGAAGAACCUCGCGGGAUGGGAAGCCGCGGAGGGAAGGGCCGUCUUUGGUUACCUGGAGAGCGGGAGCAGCUGCGGAUCCCUUAUGAAGUGCCCGGAUGAAGCUCCAGCGCUCACGCGCUUUCCGCAUUGAGUGCAGCGCCAUCUUGAGAAGGGCGGAGCCGUCUUGUUUGGAAUGACGUCUGUUCAGAGAGCCAAUCCCAGUCUCGCGACUCCUGCUUGCUGGGCGCGGCUUGGGCCUCCAGGCUGCGCAGCGCAGCCGCUAUCGGGCGGACUGCAGUUCUUGCCGAGCAGUCGCAAUGAUUUGUAUGACAGCUGCUAGCCCAAGAGAGAGUUCCAGAAGAGGGCUACCUAACAGGUGCUGUGGCAUUUAGAAGAGGAAUGGAGCCAUUGUCAACGCACAGCUUGCAGGGGAGCAGGAGAGUCAGUCUAAGAAGGAAAUGUGAUGAUGGAAACAGAGGUUGGAAGAUGGAAGAGGACCCAGAGUCAAGGAAUGCAGAUGGAGUCUUGCUCUGCUGCCCAGGCUGGAGUGCAGUGGACUGAUCUUGGCUCACUGCAGCGUCCAUCUUCCGGGUUCAAGCGAUUCUCCUGCUUCAGCCUCUCAAGUAGCUGGGAUUACAGGCGCCCACCACACCCGGCUAAUUUUUUUUUUUUUUAAUACUUUAAGUUUUAGGUUACAUGUGCACAACGUGCAGGUUUGUUACAUAUGUAUACAUGUGCCAUGUUGGUGUGCUGCACCCAUUAACUCGUCAUUUAGCAUUAGGUAUCUCUCCUAAUGCUAUCCCUCCCCCCUCCCCCCACCCCACAACCGUCCCCAGUGUGUGAUGUUCCCCUUCCUGUGUCCAUGUGUUCUCAUUGUUCAAUUCCCACCUAUGAGUGAGAACAUGCGGUGAUUGGUUUUUUCUCCUUGCAAUAGUUUGCUGAGAAUGAUGGUUUCCAGCUUCAUUCAUGUCCCUACAAAGGACAUGAACUCAUCAUUUUUUAUGGCUGCAUGGUAUUCCAUGGUGUAUAUGUGCCACGUUUUCUUAAUCCAGUCUAUCAUUGUUGAAUAUUUGGGUUGUUUCCAAGUCUUUCCUAUUGUGAAUAAUGCCACAAUAAACAUACGUGUGCAUGUGUCUUUAUAGCA